GACGAACGCUGGCGGCGUGCUUAACACAUGCAAGUGGAGCGACGAACCGGGGGCUUGCCCCGGGGCAGAGCCGCGAACGGGUGAGUAACACGUGGGUAACCCACCCCGACUGACCGGGACGAACCCGACGGAAACUACGGGCGUAAUACCGGAUGUGCUCCUUGACUCGAGGUCAAGGCGUAAAGAUAGCUUCGGCCUUCGCAUCGGGACGGGGCCCG
RNAcentral lists this ribosomal RNA (218 nucleotides) under uncultured bacterium. RNAcentral describes it as "partial 16S ribosomal RNA". It matches the Rfam family "Bacterial small subunit ribosomal RNA", at positions 28 to 233 of the family's 1533-position model. The record is from RNAcentral.